RNAcentral lists this ribosomal RNA (372 nucleotides) under uncultured bacterium. RNAcentral describes it as "bacterial SSU rRNA". It matches the Rfam family "Bacterial small subunit ribosomal RNA", at positions 152 to 507 of the family's 1533-position model. The record is from RNAcentral.
GGAAACAAAUGCUAAUACCGUAUAAUAAUUAAACCGCAUUGGGUUUUUAAGUUUAAAAGAUGGUUCUUGCUAUCACUAAGAGAUGGUCCCGCGGUGUAUUAGUUAGUUGGUGAGGUAAUGGCUCACCAAGACAAUGAUACAUAGCCGAGUUGAGAGACUGACCGGCCACAAUGGGACUGAGACACGGCCCAUACUCCUACGGGAGGCAGCAGUAGGGAAUCUUCCACAAUGGACGAAAGUCUGAUGGAGCAACGCCGCGUGUGUGAUGAAGGGUUUCGGCUCGUAAAACACUGUUGUAAGAGAAGAAUGACAUUGAGAGUAACUGUUCAAUGUGUGACGGUAUCUUACCAGAAAGGAACGGCUAAAUACGUG